Molecule: ribosomal RNA, 428 nt
Filed under: Gemmatimonadota bacterium
Lineage: Bacteria; Pseudomonadati; Gemmatimonadota
Description: Gemmatimonadetes bacterium partial 16S ribosomal RNA
Rfam family: Bacterial small subunit ribosomal RNA
Source: RNAcentral
UAGGGAAUCUUCGGAAUGGACGAAAGUCUGACCGAGCAACGCCGCGUGAGUGAAGAAGGUUUUCGGAUCGUAAAACUCUGUUGUUAGAGAAGAACAAGGACGUUAGUAACUGAACGUCCCCUGACGGUAUCUAACCAGAAAGCCACGGCUAACUACGUGCCAGCAGCCGCGGUAAUACGUAGGUGGCAAGCGUUGUCCGGAUUUAUUGGGCGUAAAGCGAGCGCAGGCGGUUUCUUAAGUCUGAUGUGAAAGCCCCCGGCUCAACCGGGGAGGGUCAUUGGAAACUGGGAGACUUGAGUGCAGAAGAGGAGAGUGGAAUUCCAUGUGUAGCGGUGAAAUGCGUAGAUAUAUGGAGGAACACCAGUGGCGAAGGCGGCUCUCUGGUCUGUAACUGACGCUGAGGCUCGAAAGCGUGGGGAGCAAACAGG